GAUGAACGCUGGCGGCGUGCCUAAUACAUGCAAGUCGAGCGAACGGACGAGAAGCUUGCUUCUCUGAUGUUAGCGGCGGACGGGUGAGUAACACGUGGAUAACCUACCUAUAAGACUGGGAUCACUUCGGGAAACCGGAGCUAAUACCGGAUGAUCUUUUGAACCGCAUGGUUCAAAAGUGAAAGACGGUCUUGCUGUCACUUAUAGAUGGAUCCGCGCUGCAUUAGCUAGUUGGUAAGGUAACGGCUUACCAAGGCAACGAUGCAUAGCCGACCUGAGAGGGGGAUCGGCCACACUGGAACGGAGACACGGUCCAGAGGCCUACGGGAGGCAGCAGUAGGGAAUCUUCCGCAAUGGGCGAAAGCCUGACGGAGCAACGCCGCGUGAGUGAUGAAGGUCUUCGGAUCGUAAAACUCUGUUAUUAGGGAAGAACAUAUGUGUAAGUAACUGUGCACAUCUUGACGGUACCGAAUCAGAAAGCCACGGCUAACUACGUG
RNAcentral lists this ribosomal RNA (497 nucleotides) under uncultured bacterium. Its description in RNAcentral is "partial 16S ribosomal RNA". It matches the Rfam family "Bacterial small subunit ribosomal RNA", at positions 28 to 507 of the family's 1533-position model. The record is from RNAcentral.